GAUGAAGAACGUAGCAAAAUGCGAUAAGUAAUGUGAAUUGCAGAAUUCAGUGAAUCAUCGAAUCUUUGAACGCACAUUGCGCCCUCUGGUAUUCCGGAGGGCAUGCCUGUCCGAGCGUCAUUGCUGCCCUCAAGCACGGCUUGUGUGUUGGGCCCCGCCCCCCGAUCCCGGGGGGCGGGCCCGAAAGGCAGCGGCGGCACCGCGUCCGGUCCUCGAGCGUAUGGGGCUUUGUCACCCGCUCUGUAGGCCCGGCCGGCGCCUGCCGAUCAACCAAACUUUUUUCCAGGUUGACCUCGGAUCAGGUAGGGAUACCCGCUGAACUUAAGCAUAUCAAUAAGCGGAGGA
This 345-nucleotide unclassified non-coding RNA is filed under the name soil metagenome. RNAcentral describes it as "partial contains 5.8S ribosomal RNA, internal transcribed spacer 2, and large subunit ribosomal RNA". The stretch from base 1 to 120 matches the Rfam family "5.8S ribosomal RNA", at positions 35 to 154 of the family's 154-position model. The record is from RNAcentral.